Molecule: ribosomal RNA, 451 nt
Filed under: uncultured bacterium
Lineage: Bacteria
Description: bacterial SSU rRNA
Rfam family: Bacterial small subunit ribosomal RNA
Source: RNAcentral
GUGAGGAAUUAUGCGCAAUGGGGGCAACCCUGACGCUGCGACGCCGCGUGGGUGAUGAAGGUCUUCGGAUCGUAAAACCCUGUCGAGAGGGGCGAAAGAGCGGGGCGUUAACACCGCUUCGCUUUGACGGUACCUCUGGAGGAAGCCCCGGCUAACUCCGUGCCAGCAGCCGCGGUAAUACGGAGGGGGCAAGCGUUGUUCGGAAUUACUGGGCGUAAAGCGCGCGUAGGCGGUUGGGUAAGUCAGAUGUGAAAGCCCCCAGCUCAACUGGGGAACUGCGUCUGAUACUGCUCGGCUUGAGUCCGAUAGGGGAUGGCAGAAUUCCCGGUGUAGCGGUGGAAUGCGUAGAUAUCGGGAGGAAUACCGAUGGCGAAGGCGGCCAUCUGGGUCGGUACUGACGCUGAGGCGCGAAAGCUAGGGGAGCAAACAGGAUUAGAUACCCCGGUAGUCC